GGUCAAGUGAAGAAGCGCAUACGGUGGAUGCCUUGGCAGUCAGAGGCGAUGAAAGACGUGGUAGCCUGCGAAAAGCUUCGGGGAGUCGGCAAACAGACUUUGAUCCGGAGAUCUCUGAAUGGGGGAACCCACCUAGGAUAACCUAGGUAUCUUGUACUGAAUCCAUAGGUGCAAGAGGCGAACCAGGGGAACUGAAACAUCUAAGUACCCUGAGGAAAAGAAAUCAACCGAGAUUCCCUUAGUAGUGGCGAGCGAACGGGGAUUAGCCCUUAAGCUUCAUUGAUUUUAGCGGAACGCUCUGGAAAGUGCGGCCAUAGUGGGUGAUAGCCCCGUACGCGAAAGGAUCUUUGAAGUGAAAUCGAGUAGGACGGAGCACGAGAAACUUUGUCUGAACAUGGGGGGACCAUCCUCCAAGGCUAAAUACUACUGACUGACCGAUAGUGAACCAGUACCGUGAGGGAAAGGCGAAAAGAACCCCGGAGAGGGGAGUGAAAUAGAACCUGAAACCGUAUGCGUACAAGCAGUGGGAGCCUACUUGUUAGGUGACUGCGUACCUUUUGUAUAAUGGGUCAGCGACUUAUAUUCAGUGGCAAGCUUAACCGUAUAGGGUAGGCGUAGCGAAAGCGAGUCUUAAUAGGGCGUUUAGUCGCUGGGUAUAGACCCGAAACCGGGCGAUCUAUCCAUGAGCAGGUUGAAGGUUAGGUAACACUGACUGGAGGACCGAACCCACUCCCGUUGAAAAGGUAGGGGAUGACUUGUGGAUCGGAGUGAAAGGCUAAUCAAGCUCGGAGAUAGCUGGUUCUCCUCGAAAGCUAUUUAGGUAGCGCCUCAUGUAUCACUCUGGGGGGUAGAGCACUGUUUCGGCUAGGGGGGUCAUCCCGACUUACCAAACCGAUGCAAACUCCGAAUACCCAGAAGUGCCGAGCAUGGGAGACACACGGCGGGUGCUAACGUCCGUCGUGAAAAGGGAAACAACCCAGACCGCCAGCUAAGGUCCCAAAGUUGUGGUUAAGUGGUAAACGAUGUGGGAAGGCUUAGACAGCUAGGAGGUUGGCUUAGAAGCAGCCAUCCUUUAAAGAAAGCGUAAUAGCUCACUAGUCGAGUCGGCCUGCGCGGAAGAUGUAACGGGGCUCAAACCACACACCGAAGCUGCGGGUGUCACGUAAGUGACGCGGUAGAGGAGCGUUCUGUAAGCCUGUGAAGGUGAGUUGAGAAGCUUGCUGGAGGUAUCAGAAGUGCGAAUGCUGACAUGAGUAACGACAAUGGGUGUGAAAAACACCCACGCCGAAAGACCAAGGGUUCCUGCGCAACGUUAAUCGACGCAGGGUUAGUCGGUUCCUAAGGCGAGGCUGAAAAGCGUAGUCGAUGGGAAACAGGUUAAUAUUCCUGUACUUCUGGUUACUGCGAUGGAGGGACGGAGAAGGCUAGGCCAGCUUGGCGUUGGUUGUCCAAGUUUAAGGUGGUAGGCUGAAAUCUUAGGUAAAUCCGGGGUUUCAAGGCCGAGAGCUGAUGACGAGUCGUCUUUUAGAUGACGAAGUGGUUGAUGCCAUGCUUCCAAGAAAAGCUUCUAAGCUUCAGGUAACCAGGAACCGUACCCCAAACCGACACAGGUGGUCGGGUAGAGAAUACCAAGGCGCUUGAGAGAACUCGGGUGAAGGAACUAGGCAAAAUGGCACCGUAACUUCGGGAGAAGGUGCGCCGGCUAGGGUGAAGGAUUUACUCCGUAAGCUCUGGCUGGUCGAAGAUACCAGGCCGCUGCGACUGUUUAUUAAAAACACAGCACUCUGCAAACACGAAAGUGGACGUAUAGGGUGUGACGCCUGCCCGGUGCCGGAAGGUUAAUUGAUGGGGUUAGCGCAAGCGAAGCUCUUGAUCGAAGCCCCGGUAAACGGCGGCCGUAACUAUAACGGUCCUAAGGUAGCGAAAUUCCUUGUCGGGUAAGUUCCGACCUGCACGAAUGGCGUAACGAUGGCGGCGCUGUCUCCACCCGAGACUCAGUGAAAUUGAAAUCGCUGUGAAGAUGCAGUGUAUCCGCGGCUAGACGGCAAGACCCCGUGAACCUUUACUGUAGCUUUGCACUGGACUUUGAGCCUGCUUGUGUAGGAUAGGUGGGAGGCUUUGAAGCGUGGACGCCAGUUCGCGUGGAGCCAUCCUUGAAAUACCACCCUGGCAUGCUUGAGGUUCUAACUCUGGUCCGUAAUCCGGAUCGAGGACAGUGUAUGGUGGGCAGUUUGACUGGGGCGGUCUCCUCCUAAAGAGUAACGGAGGAGUACGAAGGUGCGCUCAGACCGGUCGGAAAUCGGUCGCAGAGUAUAAAGGCAAAAGCGCGCUUGACUGCGAGACAGACACGUCGAGCAGGUACGAAAGUAGGUCUUAGUGAUCCGGUGGUUCUGUAUGGAAGGGCCAUCGCUCAACGGAUAAAAGGUACUCCGGGGAUAACAGGCUGAUACCGCCCAAGAGUUCAUAUCGACGGCGGUGUUUGGCACCUCGAUGUCGGCUCAUCACAUCCUGGGGCUGAAGCCGGUCCCAAGGGUAUGGCUGUUCGCCAUUUAAAGUGGUACGCGAGCUGGGUUUAGAACGUCGUGAGACAGUUCGGUCCCUAUCUGCCGUGGACGUUUGAGAUUUGAGAGGGGCUGCUCCUAGUACGAGAGGACCGGAGUGGACGAACCUCUGGUGUUCCGGUUGUCACGCCAGUGGCAUUGCCGGGUAGCUAUGUUCGGAAAAGAUAACCGCUGAAAGCAUCUAAGCGGGAAACUUGCCUCAAGAUGAGAUCUCACUGGGAACUUGAUUCCCCUGAAGGGCCGUCGAAGACUACGACGUUGAUAGGCUGGGUGUGUAAGCGUUGUGAGGCGUUGAGCUAACCAGUACUAAUUGCCCGUGAGGCUUGACCAU
Molecule: ribosomal RNA, 2892 nt
Filed under: Pseudomonas aeruginosa
Lineage: Bacteria; Pseudomonadati; Pseudomonadota; Gammaproteobacteria; Pseudomonadales; Pseudomonadaceae
Description: 23S ribosomal RNA
Rfam family: Bacterial large subunit ribosomal RNA
Source: RNAcentral